AGUGAACGCUGGCGGUAGGCCCAACACAUGCAAGUCGAACGGCGGCACAGUAAGAGCUUGCUCUUACGGGUGGCGAGUGGCGGACGGGUGAGGAAUACAUCGGAAUCUACUUUUUCGUGGGGGAUAACGUAGGGAAACUUACGCUAAUACCGCAUACGACCUACGGGUGAAAGCAGGGGAUCUUCGGACCUUGCGCGAUUGAAUGAGCCGAUGUCGGAUUAGCUAGUUGGCGGGGUAAAGGCCCACCAAGGCGACGAUCCGUAGCUGGUCUGAGAGGAUGAUCAGCCACACUGGAACUGAGACACGGUCCAGACUCCUACGGGAGGCAGCAGUGGGGAAUAUUGGACAAAGGGCGCAAGCCUGAUCCAGCCAUACCGCGUGGGUGAAGAAGGCCUUCGGGUUGUAAAGCCCUUUUGUUGGGAAAGAAAAGCAGCAGGUUAAUACCCCGCUGUUCUGACGGUACCCAAAGAAUAAGCACCGGCUAACUUCGUG
RNAcentral lists this ribosomal RNA (492 nucleotides) under uncultured bacterium. RNAcentral's name for it is "partial 16S ribosomal RNA". It matches the Rfam family "Bacterial small subunit ribosomal RNA", at positions 29 to 507 of the family's 1533-position model. The record is from RNAcentral.